RNAcentral lists this transfer RNA (74 nucleotides) under Didymosphenia geminata (rock snot). Its description in RNAcentral is "tRNA-Trp". It matches the Rfam family "tRNA". Rfam says of the family: Transfer RNA (tRNA) molecules are approximately 80 nucleotides in length. Their secondary structure includes four short double-helical elements and three loops (D, anti-codon, and T loops). Further hydrogen bonds mediate the characteristic L-shaped molecular structure. tRNAs have two regions of fundamental functional importance: the anti-codon, which is responsible for specific mRNA codon recognition, and the 3' end, to which the tRNAs corresponding amino acid is attached (by aminoacyl-tRNA synthetases). tRNAs cope with the degeneracy of the genetic code in two manners: having more than one tRNA (with a specific anti-codon) for a particular amino acid; and 'wobble' base-pairing, i.e. permitting non-standard base-pairing at the 3rd anti-codon position. Lineage: Eukaryota; Bacillariophyta; Bacillariophyceae; Cymbellales; Cymbellaceae. The record is from RNAcentral.
AGGAAAGUAGUUCAGUUUGGUAGAACAUUGGUUUCCAAAACCAAAAGUCAUAGGUUCAAAUCCUAUCUUUCUUG